Molecule: ribosomal RNA, 250 nt
Filed under: uncultured bacterium
Lineage: Bacteria
Description: partial 16S ribosomal RNA
Rfam family: Bacterial small subunit ribosomal RNA
Source: RNAcentral
GACGAGCCACCCAAACGUUAUUCGGAAUCACUGGGCUUAAAGCGUGCGUAGGCGGCCUGCAAAGUUGGGUGUGAAAUCCCUCGGCCUAACCGAGGAAUUGCGCCCAAAACUAGUAGGCUAGAGGGAGAUAGAGGUAAGCGGAACUGAUGGUGGAGCGGUGAAAUGUGUUGAUAUCAUCAGGAACACCGGUGGCGAAGGCGGCUUACUGGGUCUUUACUGACGCUGAGGCACGAAAGCCAGGGUAGCGAAC